Long non-coding RNA from Prunus dulcis (almond), 344 nucleotides. RefSeq lists it as uncharacterized. The transcript is spliced from 3 exons. Lineage: Eukaryota; Viridiplantae; Streptophyta; Magnoliopsida; Rosales; Rosaceae. The record is from RefSeq and is a predicted model, not a curated record.
CUCCGCCAUUUCCAGCUCACAUCCAGCUCUGCGCCCCAGGGAGACUGUGGCCCGGAUCCUGGAGAGCUUCUUCUUCGAAGAAGGCCCAAUUCAAGCAACUUGAAAGUGUUCAAUGAGCAUUGUCCACAUGCUGCUAUGUGAAAUUGCUAUUGCUGCUGCAACCUCUGAUGGCCUGAAUUCCAAGAAGUCAAUUCCUGCAUUCAAUUCCCACCCACCACAAACAUCAGCCCCUCUUUCAUAAUACUGGUGCAAUUGCAGAGAAAUUAUAACAUAUAGCAGAAAAUGCAGUACCUUUAGCAGUGGUCAAAAUGAGUUGGGAUGAUCUCAAGAUUGAAGCUCUGAGA